This 404-nucleotide ribosomal RNA is filed under the name uncultured bacterium. RNAcentral's name for it is "bacterial SSU rRNA". It matches the Rfam family "Bacterial small subunit ribosomal RNA", at positions 355 to 776 of the family's 1533-position model. The record is from RNAcentral.
UGAGGAAUUUUCCGCAAUGGGCGAAAGCCUGACGGAGCGACGCCGUGUGGGUGAUGAAGGCCUUCGGGUCUUAAAGCCCUGUCAGCGAGGAUGAUAUUGACAGUACUCGCAGAGGAAGCCCCGGCUAACUACGUGCCAGCAGCCGCGGUAAUACGUAGGGGGCGAGCGUUGUCCGGAAUUACUGGGCGUAAAGAGCAUGUAGGCGGUUUUGUAAGUCAGAUGUUAAAUCCUCGGGCUCAACCCGGGUACGCAUUUGAUACUGCAUAAGCUAGAGAAAUGUAGAGGAAAGCGGAACUUCCGGUGUAGCGGUGAAAUGCGUAGAUAUCGGAAGGAACACCAGUGGCGAAGGCGGCUUUCUGGACAUUUUCUGACGCUGAGAUGCGAAAGCUAAGGGAGCAAACGGG